This 380-nucleotide ribosomal RNA is filed under the name uncultured eukaryote. Its description in RNAcentral is "partial 18S ribosomal RNA". It matches the Rfam family "Eukaryotic small subunit ribosomal RNA", at positions 592 to 976 of the family's 1831-position model. The record is from RNAcentral.
CAAUAGCGUAUAUUAAAGUUGUUGCGGUUAAAAAGCUCGUAGUUGGAUUUCUGCUGAGAACGACCGGUCCGCCCUCUGGGUGUGUAUCUGGCUCUUUCUUGGCAUCUUCUUGGUGAACGUUGCUGCACUUGACUGUGUGGAGCGCUACCCAGGACUUUUACUUUGAGGAAAUUAGAGUGUUUCAAGCAGGCAUACGCCUUGAAUACAUUAGCAUGGAAUAAUAAGAUAGGACCUCGGUUCUAUUUUGUUGGUUUCUAGAGCUGAGGUAAUGAUUAAUAGGGAUAGUUGGGGGCAUUCGUAUUUAACUGUAAGAGGUGAAAUUCUUGGAUUUGUUAAAGACGGACUACUGCGAAAGCAUUUGCCAAGGAUGUUUUCAUUGA